UGGGGAAUAUUGGACAAUGGGCGAAAGCCUGAUCCAGCAAUGCCGCGUGAGUGAUGAAGGCCUUAGGGUCGUAAAGCUCUGUGGGGAGGGACGAACCGCUGCACGUUAAUAGCGUGCAGCAUGACGGUACCUCCUUAGCAAGCUCAGGCUAACUCCGUGCCAGCAGCCGCGGUAAUACGGAGGGAGCUAGCGUUAUUCGGAAUUACUGGGCGUAAAGCGCACGUAGGCGGCUUUGUAAGUAAGAGGUGAAAGCCUGGUGCUCAACACCAGAACUGCCUUUUAGACUGCAUCGCUUGAAUCCAGGAGAGGUGAGUGGAAUUCCGAGUGUAGAGGUGAAAUUCGUAGAUAUUCGGAAGAACACCAGUGGCGAAGGCGGCUCACUGGACUGGUAUUGACGCUGAGGUGCGAAAGCGUGGGGAGCAAAC
Molecule: ribosomal RNA, 425 nt
Filed under: uncultured bacterium
Lineage: Bacteria
Description: bacterial SSU rRNA
Rfam family: Bacterial small subunit ribosomal RNA
Source: RNAcentral